AGGACGAACGCUGGCGGCGUGCCUAACACAUGCAAGUCGAACGCGCUCCAUUCGGUAGCAAUACUGAUGAAGAGCGAGUGGCGAACGGGUGAGUAGCACGUGAGCAACCUGCCCCGAAGACCGGGACAACACCGGGAAACCGGUGCUAAUACCGGAUAUCCCUAUCGGACCGCAUGAUCUGAUAAGGAAAUGGAUUCCGCUUCGGGAGGGGCUCGCGGCCUAUCAGCUAGUUGGUGAGGUAACGGCCCACCAAGGCAUCGACGGGUAGCUGGUCUGAGAGGACGAUCAGCCACACUGGGACUGAGACACGGCCCAGACUCCUACGGGAGGCAGCAGUGGGGGAAUCUUGCGCAAUGGGCGAAAGCCUGACGCAGCAACGCCGCGUGGAGGACGAAGGCUUUCUGAGUUGUAAACUCCUUUCAGCAGGACGAUAGCGACGGUACCUGCAGAAGAGCACCGGCCAACUACGUGCCAGCAGCCGCGGUAAC
Molecule: ribosomal RNA, 488 nt
Filed under: uncultured bacterium
Lineage: Bacteria
Description: SSU rRNA
Rfam family: Bacterial small subunit ribosomal RNA
Source: RNAcentral